Siniperca chuatsi (mandarin fish) is the source of this 452-nucleotide long non-coding RNA. RefSeq lists it as uncharacterized. The transcript has 4 exons. Lineage: Eukaryota; Metazoa; Chordata; Actinopteri; Centrarchiformes; Sinipercidae. The record is from RefSeq and is a predicted model, not a curated record.
GUUAUUCUAAGGGACGUGACUUUUCCAACACACGUUCUAAGCGGUUGAGAAAAUCACUAGAAAGUGGGCCAGCUGACCAAUCAGAGUAAAGUGGGCUUUUUGGGGAGCUAAAACAGAGCGUUUCAAACAGAGUGAAUAAAGGGUGACAAGUUUUCACAGCAGACAAGAGGCACUGCAACAUCCACAGAAAUUUCUCGCACCUCUCCUGAAGCAUAAUCCACUUCUGUGCUGUUCAUCUGUAUGCUCAUUUUCCUGCAACAAGGCUGAAGGUCUGGACCAGAUCUACCUGGACACCGCGGGGCCAAAACUUAUUGAUCAAGACCAAUUCAAUUAUUGGUGCCUUGCCUUGGCCUAAGUGAGAUGGCUUCUGAGAAACAAUCCCCCCUGUGAAGUUAAGGGUGUACUGGGUGCUGAUGUCAUCCUCCACUGUCUUCGUGGUGACAGCCACCUGA